GGGGUACCUUAUGAUAGAACACUGGCUUAGGACGCUUUUCAAGGCAGAACAGCAAACUGGUCUGUUACAAACUUUGCUGCAGUUUCCUGAGAAAAACUGGAUGAGUUUUUUUCUUGUCUUGCAUGUCCUUGGGAACUUGAAGCUGUAAGCAUGUGGCCAUGUUUUCUCUUUUCACAAUGGCAUCCUGUGUUCAGGGUUCAAUUUCUGCCUCGGGAUGAAUUUUUUUUAUCUUCUUCUGUGUAUGUAUUUACAUGUAUUAUGUGUGUGUGAUGUUUAUUUCUAAAACAGCAUUGAUUAAUGGGUUUAAUGAGAGCUUAAAUCAAAUAUUUUGUCAGAAAAGUAAAAAGUAUAAUGCCUUUUAGUUCAUGUGACUUAAGUAAUUUUCCACGGAGCUUGCAGUGAGCCGAGAUCACGCCACUGCACUGCAGCCUAGGCGAAAGAGCGAGACUCUGUCUCAAAAAAAAAAAAAAAAAAAGAAAAAUAUUUUUAAUUAAAAAAAUAUAAAGUCAUGGGAAUUUAGAUUUUUGCCUAGAUUAAAGCAUUAAAGGAUGGUUUCAAGUUAGGAUGAAGCUGACUGUUCAAGAAAGCUGUGGAAGGGUUGUGAAAAAAUAACUGUAAAAGAGAUUCUGUGUGCAAACAUUGGCUAAAAUUAAAGGGGUAUUAUUCAGUUUUUCUGGAAACUGAACAUUGGAAUAAAAGCACUACUCUACUCUUUAACAAAAACUUGUAAAGGGUUAUAAAAGGUUUAUAAAAACCUUACCUUAUGGUCAAUAUGAUUAGGAUUGAAGACAUUUGUCUAUAAAGUUUUACUAAGAAUUGGGUUUGACAUCAAUAAUGCACAAAUGCAACAGUGACAUUUGGCUUAUUUAAUAUUACAAUAAUACAAGAAGCAUUAUCAAAUACAAAAUGGCAUUUGGGUUUCUUUGGGCUGUAUUUGUAUAAAUGUGUUACUGGUACAUGUUCCAAAAUUAUUUUUAAAAAUUCUUUAAUCCUGAUAUGACUUAGUGUAUGUUAUUAAUAAUUGUUCAUUAAAAUCAUUGUGUCUCAGAGGCAACCACAUUUUUCUAGUCAAUUUUGGCUUUAAUUGUGGCUGUCCUAAGACUUUUGGUCAUCCAAAAGUGGUCUUGUUUUGGUUCUCUUUAAAAGGUGGUUUAGAAUUAACUGUAGGACUCUACUGGUGCUUUUAAAUGCAGAUUUCUGAUAAGUUUGGACAUUGUGACAUCAGAACAGAGGGAAACCUUUCAGGACUCAGGGAGAGCUAAAAUGUUCAUAAAUAUCAAGCAGAACAGAAGUUAACUGCAUGGACUAAACUAGCAAAAGUCUAAAGUAACCUUUUUAACUUUUUGUGUAAAAUGUUGCUGAUCUUUUGUGUUUCAGAGUCAAGAAAACUUUUGAGCUAUUAUAGCUUUUAGCAAUUGAGUAAAGUAUACUUGUGUGAACAAAAUUGAGAGCAUAUUUUUUUCUUUUUACCUGAUUUCUCUGGAUUUUGUAAACUAGUUGUGAGUAUUCUUAAUUUAUGGCAAUAUAGUUAUUUGCAUGAGUGUAAUAAGAAUCUGUUGGGUUUUGUUUUGUUUUCUUUAUUAUUAUUAUUAUUUUUGGCAACAAGACACAAUUGGAGAAACUGAUUAUUUUACGAAGACUUUGAUGGAAUGGUAUACUCUCCUUUAAGGAAUCAAACUUGACUUGCCAAGUCAAUAAAAGCCCCUUGGAGAAAUGGCCUCAGACCUUUGCUACAACAGUCCCUGUACGUGAUUUCUGACCUGUGGUAAGUAAAUAAUGUCACCUUCUAACAGGUCCAGGAGCCCCAAGUUAUCUUGGGACCCCAAGAGGAGAGGAAUUUACUAAACUCAUAGGUAUUUGAGGGUACAAACCCAUGGUAGGGCUCAGCUCAAAAAGAGUCUUAUCUAAGAUUCCUUCUAAGAAACAAAGUUUCAUCAAAGCCAGUGUUAAAAGUCUAUGUGAAAAAUAAUUAUUCUUGCUGUACUUUAUACAAAUAAUCAGGCCAAGUAUAAUAAAGCAAAUUAGUCUCACUAUGACUUAUCUUUAGUGAAAAUGGAAAACAGGAGAGAGAAUAUUAUGUUUCAAGACCUAUGUUACACUUGUUAUUAAAUUCUAGUCUCAUCAGUUGUUAAGUUUGUUUCUGCAGUUUAGGCUAACCCUGCUUCUUCCUGUGAACCAACCGGUGAUCUUUGUUUGCUACUCUGAAAAAACAAGACAUUUUGGUAAUGUAAAAAUCUGGAUCAGUAUUCUAAUUCUGGGCAUGUAUUGGAAUUGGCUAACCACCUCAUGUCAGCUUGGUUCCAGUAGUUGCCCAGUUCAUGAAGAGCCUUAUAAUUUAGUUUAUUUGGGAUAAUUUUGCUUAUUUUGUUAUAUUGCUGUUUUACUCUUUGUGUAGGAAUGCAGACUAAGCUUGCUAAAUGUUUUCUUAAACUAAAUACUUAUUAGUCUUUCAGAUAUCACCUUUCAUCAGGACUCAAGAGUUCUGAAUGGCCUUCAUCAUACUGAGGCUUUCUGACUGAGCUCCUCUCUACCCUGAACACAGAGACCCUAAUAGUUAGGCAGGAAUAUCAUUUCCCCUAUUCAGCCUGAAGAAGUUACAGAAGAUGAAUCUUUGUCCCCCUACAACCUUAGGAUUAAGGGUUCUCUUAUAAAAGGGAGGGAGGAAAUGUCUAAGACAUGUGAACUAGAGCAACUUCAUCCUGAAGAGGAGCUGAGUAAAAUAAGGCUGAAACCUACUGGGCUGCAUUCUUAGACAGUUAAGGCAUUCUAAGUCACAGGAUGAGAUAGGAGGUUAGCACAAGAUACAGGUCCUUAAAACCUUGCUGAUAAAACAGUUUGCAGUAAAGAAACCAGCCAAAACCCACCAAAACCAAUAUGGCCACGAGAGUGACCUCUGGUCAUCCUCACUGCUACACUCCCACCAGCGCCAUAAUAGUUCACAAAUACCAUAGCAACAUCAGGAUGUAACCCUGCAUAAAUAAUGCACCCCUUGUUUAGCAUAUGAUCAAGAAAUAACCAUAAUAAUAGGCAACCAGCAGCCCUCAGGGAUGCUCUGUCUUUGGAGUAGCCAUUCUCUUAUUCCUCUACUUUCUUAAUAAACUUGCUUUCACUUUAC
Molecule: long non-coding RNA, 3115 nt
Filed under: Homo sapiens (human)
Lineage: Eukaryota; Metazoa; Chordata; Mammalia; Primates; Hominidae
Description: non-protein coding lnc-PRSS3-2:13
Source: RNAcentral